GAUGAACGCUGGCGGCGUGCCUAAUACAUGCAAGUCGAGCGAACGGACGAGAAGCUUGCUCCUCUGCUGUUAGCGGCGGACGGGUGAGUAACACGUGGAUAACCUACCUAUAAGACUGGGAUAACUUCGGGAAACCGUAGCUAAUACCGGAUAAUAUUUUGAACCGCAUGGUUCAAAAGUGAAAGACGGUCUUGGCGUCACUUAUAGAUGGAUCCGCGCUGCAUUAGCUAGUUGGUAAGGUAACGGCCUACCAAGGCAACGAUGCAUAGCCGACCUGAGAGGGUGAUCGGCCACACUGGAACUGAGACACGGUCCAGACUCCUACGGGAGGCAGCAGUAGGGAAUCUUCCGCAAUGGGCGAAAGCCUGACGGAGCAACGCCGCGUGAGUGAUGAAGGUCUUCGGAUCGUAAAACUCUGUUAUUAGGGAAGAAAAUAUGUGUAAGUAACUGUGCACAUCUUGACGGUACCUAAUCAGAAAGCCACGGCUAACUACGUG
This 497-nucleotide ribosomal RNA is filed under the name uncultured bacterium. Its description in RNAcentral is "partial 16S ribosomal RNA". It matches the Rfam family "Bacterial small subunit ribosomal RNA", at positions 28 to 507 of the family's 1533-position model. The record is from RNAcentral.